CUUGUGGGGAAACCGAUGCCAACUCCAAGAGGCAAUAUAUGCAUCAUGAUUGGCUGCAAAACUAAGUGGGCAGAAGCAUAACCGCUAAAGAAUAAGCAAGCCGAGGAAGUACCACAAUGCAUUGUGGAAUUUUUCUGUGAAUAUGGCUCUCUGCCAAAGGCUUGAAAUUCAGAGGAGUUUUUGUGCACCAUAUCAUCCACAGACCAAUGGACUGGUUGAAAGGACAAAUGGGACAGUGACAAGAACCCCCGCCAAAUUGGUGGAGGGAGAAGCCAUGAAACUGGGAUCUGUGCCUCAGUGCAGCCAUGUUUUGGUUUACGCACAAAGAUAGAUCACCACAGAGUACUUUAUGCUUGGCAGAGACGCCAGGUACCUGACUAUAUUGAGGACAUUGUGGCUGAGGAGGUUCUUUCAGUGUCUGAAGCUACAAGAACAUCUUUUAAAGUUGUUUCAGAAAAUGUUGAAGAGGCCAGUGAAAAACAAAAAAGGGAAGGGCUGAACAAGUGAGUGAGGAUUUUUAACUGGGAGAGCUUGUCUUCAAGAACAUGAAAUGUAAAAAAAAAAAAUUAAGGAGACAAGCUGGCAAAUGACAGACUGGGGCCUUUUAGAAUUUUAAGUUUGCAAGGCAAAAGUGCCGAUCUGCAGUCAGUUAAAUCCAGCAGCAAUCUGAUCCAGCAGAUCAGCACCAUCUUACUAAAUGUAUAGAAUCAGAAAAUCUGGUUCCUUAUGGAUUACAAACUGCCCCAUCCCACACAACUAGUCAUUUUGUCCUCACUCUCACCACGUGCAUCUGCUUCCACCAAAUCUUCCCCACCCUGCCAGUGUGUUCUUGUGACCUCAGAAUACGCUACCUGUAUUUCUGAAGCUUCAGAAUCUGCCCCACCCUCCCUGUAGGUUCCUGUGACAACAAAAUCUGCCCCAACCUCCCCAUGUUUCUGUCGCCCAUUAAUGGUUAUCUUGUAUUUGCUAGCUAUACUAAUUGGAUUAUUCUUAUCCAUAUUUGAUUAUACAUAAAAAGGAGAAAAAAUGGAAACAACACCGGGUUUCUGAGCAAAUUGAGUACAUUUUUGAUUUAAUAAAGAGAAA
This is a long non-coding RNA of Anguilla rostrata (American eel), 1086 nucleotides long. RefSeq lists it as uncharacterized. The transcript has 4 exons. NCBI's taxonomy places the organism in Eukaryota, Metazoa, Chordata, Actinopteri, Anguilliformes, Anguillidae. The record is from RefSeq and is a predicted model, not a curated record.